ACACACAAAUCCAUGUUUGGGUGCUUUCCCUCGGAUGAAACUGCGGUGACUCCGAGUGGACGGAGGACGUGGACCACAGGGGGAGGGCAUCCAUGCCCCUCGCUGCCCGUCUUCAUCACUCCCAGGUCACUUCCAGAGGGUUCUUCAAGGGCAGGAGGCAGUUGCCGCUCUGUUUCCUAUUUUCAGGGGACUUUUCGCUUUCCCCUCUGCUGCCGCGCAGUCGAUACACUAGCCUCUUUAUCUGCGCACCCUAGAAGCCAGUGCAGGGGAGGCUCCCUUGUGUUCACCCUCUAGAGACAGGCUUUGAAAUCUGUGACCGUGAGGCCUCGGGCGCCCAGUUUACAUGAGCACGUGACCCCCAAGGCUCAGACAAACCAGCCGUGGAGCAGACGUGCUGCUGAGGCCACGGGGACAGGGAGCCGCUGUCCAGAGCUGCGUGGAGCGUGAAUGGCAGGGAGUGGUGGGUCGGGCAGGGAGGGUUGAGCGUGAACCCUCCAGGCGGCAGAGGAAGCAGGCUGCCACCACCGAGCCCCGCUCCAAGGAUGGCUUUUGGAAGAGCACGUGCAGAGGCCGGGCUCCAGCUUGGGGGUUUCUGGCCCAAGAUGCUGUGGCGCUGCCGACAGAAUGAUGGAGGUGGGCUUGGGCCCGGCAGAGGGCCGAGAGGCAGGGUCUCCCAUCGGUACAGCCCAGACUAGAGGCGUCGGGAGGUAUUUUGACAGUUUUUCCCUCCCUUCGCCUCGCCUCGCCUCCUGUGCCCCGAGUUGGAGCGGGGCCACGGGCUUGGCGUGCUCCUCGGCUGCUCACACACGCAGCACAAUCCGUGGGCUCAACUCCGUUUUCUGUGGACGGAGGGAAGUCAGGCUGUGGACACCCGGGGGGUCUCUGCAGGAGCCUCCGAGCCAGGCUUGUGGUUUCAGGACCUCAGGAAGCCGCUGUCCUCUGGAGAGACACACACACACACACAGAUAGGCCGCCUGUCUCACAGAUCCCCACAUCUCUUAUCCUUACUCACAGACCAACUAGCAUUUGACUCCAAGGAAGAAAACAGACAUUUCUUCUGGACACGAUUUAACCACGUAUGUGUGAAGAUUCUGGAGAGUUAGGUAGGAAAAUGAGAAAACACAUUACAAAGAAGCAGGGAGUGCAUGCUUGAGUGAGCAGAUUGAAAUGCAGAGACCACCUUCAGAUCUGAGUUCACAGGUCACCUCUUCCAGGAAGCCCUCCCUGAUCUCUCCAGGGCCUGCUGAGCUCUUCCUCCUGUGUGCUCCCCACAAGCCCUGCACCGAAGGUGACAUUGCUGGGCUGUGACCCCCUUUGCAUUGUCUCCGUCCCUGGCCAGACUCCAGCAGAGGGCCUGGAGAACAGGCCGUGCCCGUCCCAGUGGGCACACAGUAAAUACCUGUUGUCACAGAACAUCGGCUCCGUGAAAACAGACCCGUCUGGGGGCGAGGCUGAGGUGGGGGCCUCCGAGUCAGGAAACGAAGGGCUUUGUUUUCCCUACAAGGAAGGUGGGUGCCCCGGCAGCCCCCGGCCACAUCCCAGCCUUCCUGUUCUCGUCCCCCUUAUCUUGAUGGAGACAGUAAUUUGUUUCCCAUCUUCUAUAGGAGCAGAGCCGGUGGCAGCCCGUGGAGUAGACCUGUGUGGGGGCAGAGGUUUUCUGAUUACAGUCCAUUAAGGCUGAGCUGUGAUUUCUAAAGCGCUUUUCAUUUGCAGCAGGAGCCAAACCCCUGCCCAGUUUCCUCUCACCGACUAAGCAGUGCGCUACUCUAUGAAAAUGAAUUUUUUAAUUAUGUUAGUUUAAGGAGAAGCCUAACUGAACAUGUGUGUUGAGCGAAACAGAAUACUCCAGUUGGCACAGCAAGAAAGAGGGCUUUGGAGAGAGACCAGCAGGGUCCCACGUUGGAGCCUGACAUCUUAACAGUAUCCAAAAAGCCUGGCUCCUUCGCGGCCGUUUCAGUGGCAGGACAACUCCUGAGCCCGGACCACCUGUCCGCUCCUCAUUUCCAAGUCGCUGCCGAUGCUGCUCCUGGCGGGAUACAGCUUGACCGUCAUAACUGCAGGACGUCAUCUGCUCCAGUCCCCUGGAUGUGACGGCACGGAGCUGGUGGCUGCUCCCUGCCUGAUGCCCCGAGACCCGGUCCCAGCUCCUCCUCUGCGCGGGGCCCUAUAACGUCCAGAGAUGGUUCUGUGUGCCGUCAAAAUAGGACGGAGUUGCCUUCUGUCCCCGUUUUCCAGUUCAGUUGUACCUGGGUGGUCCAAGCCUCCCUUCUGUCUCCACUAAUUCCCCAGGGGUGCUCGCUGUCAAGAAAAAUAUCAUGCGUGUUUGUAGUUGAGCAAGCCUUUUUUUUUAAGGUACCAGCACUCGUAUCUUAGUGAGCGGGACAUGUCACUGCAGUUUCUCCUUCCAGCAGGCCUUCCUCUGCUCCGCUCCAGUGCCUUUAGGUCCCCGCCCGGCAGUGCCCCGUUACCCCUUUCGCUCACUGUGUGGCAUUAGCCUUCUAGAUGAUGCUGGUACCCAGUGCCAGUGAAGCUGAGUAGCCCCAGGCAAGUUAAUUCAUCAUCCCGGUAUGCACGCUGCAAGGCCUUAACCAGGAUGCCUGACAGAGAAAACAGCCCCAAAUAGAACCUUCCCAUGGCCACUGGGAACUGUGCUCCCCGUGUCCCCCAUCUGUGGAGAAGACCUCAGGGUCUGCCACUCCCAAGCCUCCGACCACCUGCCCCCUUGGUGGUCCCGUGUCCCCCGUGACCCACUCUCCCUGGAGACGGCUGCACUGGGGGGAAAGCCCUUCCCCGUCUGACCUCACCAUCCUGUCCUUGCCACAGCCCUGCCACAGCCUCCACGCUGUCCCAGAAACACGCUGAACGGCUCUUGGGCUCUUCACAGGAUCGGCAGAGUUGGGUCAUGGCCUCCAGCUCACCUUUGGGGCGGGCAGCCUUCCCCAAGCAGAGCAGUCAGUCCCAAUUUUUGGUUCUCUGAACAGCAGCAGCAGCGCUGUGUCCUGCCUCUCGGGCGCCCGAGCGCAGGGCUGUGUCGUGUUGGCCACUGUUUCUCUACAUCCAGGGUCAUACCUGGCAGGUGGUCGUCACCAUCUGUUUGCCACCAGAUUCAACCAGUAGCAGCUGCUGCUUUUACUACUGAAAUCAGAGUGUGUGUCCAUGAACUCAGGGGUAUGUGCACAGCAGAGACGGGGUUAAAAUGGACGGGGGGCAACAGCCCUCCUGCUACCCUGCGCCACUGGGAAUAAGCGAGUUAAGAUGUUGAGUCCCCUGCUCUCCCUGACAUGAGGGCCGGUCCCUUGAGGCCCUGGUGACAUGGGGAGCUCUGCAGUGGCUUCAGUUCUGUCAAGCAGGGAGCUGCCACCUGCUGGGGAGUGUCCUUCCACCUCAGACCCAAGCCCCUCACCCACUAGCCCAGCUGGUGGAAACAGAGCCAAAGCCCAGGCCAGAAGCCCUACGGGACAGUGCCCUCGGUGAAUGCGACCUUUGUUGUGGCGGAGUUGGCACCGCGGGGGGCGGGGCGUGGGCAGGAGCCACAGGUGCUCCGCGCUGCAGGAAGCCGGAUGCCCUCGUGCCAGGCCUCCAGCCCCCGCGGUGAGGACGGGGGAUCUGGAGAGGUUCAGCUCCCUGCCCAUCUCCACCUCCCUCUCGGAGCAGAGGGCAGCGCAGAUGCGCGGGGGGCCCAAGGGAGCCCCGCGCGGGUCGGCAGCUGCCGGUCAGCGGGACGAUGGCUCUGUCAACCUCUGCUGACAGCGUGUCUUGCUCCCCACUCUCCCUCAAACCUCUGCAGGAGCAAUUCUUCUGGGAGGAAUCCUCUACUCCUGGCAGUUUCCCCAUUUCAACGCCCUGAGCUGGGGCCUCCGCGAAGACUACUCCCGGGGCGGCUACUGCAUGAUGUCGGUCACCCACCCGGCGCUGUGCCGCCGUGUCGCCCUGCGCCACUGCCUGGCUUUGAUCGCACUCUCCGCCGCGGCCCCUGCCCUGGAUGUCACCACGUGGACCUUCCCGGUCAUCGCCCUCCCCAUCAACCUGUACAUUUCCUACCUCGGCUUCCGGUUCUACAGGGACGCGGACCGGAAGAGCUCCCGGAAGCUGUUCUUCUGCAGCCUCUGGCACCUGCCUCUGUUCCUGCUGCUGAUGCUGACCUGCAAGCGGCCGGCCGGGCGGGGCGACGCCAGGGAGCCUCAGGGCUGACGUCACGCUGUCGUGCGGGAACGGCGAGAAACAUAGGAGACGCACAGGUUGUUUUGUUUUGUUUUUCCUCUCUGCUGUUAGGCAGGAAUAUUUUGGUAAUCUGAAAACACCAAGAGAGAAAUCGCAGGGUUUGGGACAAGGUUGUAACAUAAUUGGUGCUCAGGGCUCGCUCAACAACUUUUGUAAAUGGUGAUAUCCAAAAUGCUCCCCAUUAGGACUGCGUUGACUCGGUCGAUUAACACAAGGAGUGGUUAACCCCUUUGCGGGUCGUUAUGGAGCUCUCGCGCCAGCCCCACCCUGUCUGCUCAUCCUCUCCCUCAGGUAGAAGUGCAGGUGAGCCUUUCCUGGUCCCUCCACACAUACUCCCCACCUGCCAGCCAGACAAGGUGCGAGCUCACACUGUGGUAUCUGUGGUUCUGUGGCCUCCGGUCCCUGCUGGGACAGCCCCCCUUGUUGUGAAUGAGCCAGGGCCCCUCUUUCUGCUCCCUUCGCCCCACACCUCCUCAGCCUGACCAUCCCUCAGACAAAACCACGGAUGUGCUGCCGCUCGGCCUUGGCAGGAAGAAUUCCAAACGGUUGCCCAGGGAACCUCAGGCUGGACCGCCAGCCCCCCCACCCCAGACCCCCAACCCCGACCUGUCAGCUUUCAGAAACUCCAAGCAAUCAAAGGCAUCUUUAAAGUUCGCUUUACUAUAUAGGAGGUAUCAGAGCAUUUCUUUCUGGAAGGGUCUCUCUCGACUUAAAACCAGAAAUCCCUCCAGCUCUGAUCCAUCAAUUCCUCUUUAUUCACGACUGUGGUUGUCGGCUUCUCUUUGCUGCAAGGCUCUGAGGCCAAAGGAGAAGGGGAAUCAGAAAAGGGUGAGCAGGGCCAGCCAGCCCACGCAGCUCACGUUCCUGUCCCUUUAGUGGAAAGCACAUUUCCAUCCUUCUAUCUUCUGAAUUCAGAAAUGAGCCUUCACGUGUCCAGUGGCUUUGAGAGCCAGAAGCAGGUGCUGGCCCCCUGUGGGGGUGCUCCUGGUCCUGGGAGGGGUGGGUCCCCGCAGCCAGGUGUGCCUCCAUCCCUCAGGCUUCACGUCCGUCCCCUCAUCCACUCUCCACUCCCACUUGCCUGAAGGUCUUGAAGCUUAACAGGAUGUUUUCAUUACUCAGGCUCCAGGGGCAUGGCUGCCCUGGAAGGAAUUCAUUCGGGGAGUUUAAGCAACACUUAGGCAGUCAUUGCAGUAUGCCUGUUCUCUCACAACUCCCCAAAACAAUGCAGUUAGUAUCUGAUGUCUGUUUCCACUUACCUGAAACACUCUCUCUUGGCCGUGUCCAGAUGGCACUGUGGGAAGUGACACAGGCAUGUCGUGGGGGGCAGGGGGUUGGGGGGCGGCACCCGCAGCCCUCAGAUUUGUAAAGCGCAUCGGUUCUCUUUUCCUGCUGCAAUAAACCAGCCCCUCAGAACC
This 5636-nucleotide long non-coding RNA is filed under the name Sus scrofa (pig). RNAcentral describes it as "lncRNA (ENSSSCG00025038607.1)". Lineage: Eukaryota; Metazoa; Chordata; Mammalia; Artiodactyla; Suidae. The record is from RNAcentral.